AUUGAACGCUGGCGGCAGGCCUAACACAUGCAAGUCGAGCGGAUGAAGGGAGCUUGCUCCUGGAUUCAGCGGCGGACGGGUGAGUAAUGCCUAGGAAUCUGCCUGGUAGUGGGGGAUAACGUCCGGAAACGGGCGCUAAUACCGCAUACGUCCUGAGGGAGAAAGUGGGGGAUCUUCGGACCUCACGCUAUCAGAUGAGCCUAGGUCGGAUUAGCUAGUUGGUGGGGUAAAGGCCUACCAAGGCGACGAUCCGUAACUGGUCUGAGAGGAUGAGCAGUCACACUGGAACUGAGACACGGUCCAGACUCCUACGGGAGGCAGCAGUGGGGAAUAUUGGACCAUGGGCGAAAGCCUGAUCCAGCCAUGCCGCGUGUGUGAAGAAGGUCUUCGGAUUGUAAAGCACUUUAAGUUGGGAGGAAGGGCAGUAAGUUAAUACCUUGCUGUUUUGACGUUACCAACAGAAUAAGCACCGGCUAACUUCGUG
Molecule: ribosomal RNA, 484 nt
Filed under: uncultured bacterium
Lineage: Bacteria
Description: partial 16S ribosomal RNA
Rfam family: Bacterial small subunit ribosomal RNA
Source: RNAcentral